AGUGAACGCUGGCGGUAGGCCUAACACAUGCAAGUCGAACGGCAGCACAGUAAGAGCUUGCUCUUACGGGUGGCGAGUGGCGGACGGGUGAGGAAUACAUCGGAAUCUACUUUUUCGUGGGGGAUAACGUAGGGAAACUUACGCUAAUACCGCAUACGACCUACGGGUGAAAGCAGGGGAUCUUCGGACCUUGCGCGAUUGAAUGAGCCGAUGUCGGAUUAGCUAGUUGGCGGGGUAAAGGCCCACCAAGGCGACGAUCCGUAGCUGGUCUGAGAGGAUGAUCGGCCACACUGGAACUGAGACACGGUCCAGACUCCUACGGGAGGCAGCAGUGGGGAAUAUUGGACAAUGGGCGCAAGCCUGAUCCAGCCAUACCGCGUGGGUGAAGAAGGCCUUCGGGUUGUAAAGCCCUUUUGUUGGGAGAGAAAAGCAGCAGGUUAAUACCCAGCUGUUCUGACGGUACCCAAAGAAUAAGCACCGGCUAACUUCGUG
RNAcentral lists this ribosomal RNA (492 nucleotides) under uncultured bacterium. RNAcentral's name for it is "partial 16S ribosomal RNA". It matches the Rfam family "Bacterial small subunit ribosomal RNA", at positions 29 to 507 of the family's 1533-position model. The record is from RNAcentral.